ACGCUCGACACCUACUGGAGGCAGCAGUGAGGAAUAUUGGUCAAUGGACGCAAGUCUGAACCAGCCAUGCCGCGUGCAGGAUGACGGCUCUAUGAGUUGUAAACUGCUUUUGUACGAGGGUAAACGCAGAUACGUGUAUCUGUCUGAAAGUAUCGUACGAAUAAGGAUCGGCUAACUACGUGCCAACAGCCGCGGUAAUCUGAGCGGCUGGCAAGGC
Molecule: ribosomal RNA, 217 nt
Filed under: uncultured bacterium
Lineage: Bacteria
Description: partial 16S ribosomal RNA
Rfam family: Bacterial small subunit ribosomal RNA
Source: RNAcentral